GUCGGGGGUUACCCCCCUCGGUGCCGCAGCUAACGCAUUAAGUACUCCGCCUGGGAAGUACACUCGCACGAGUGAAACUCCACGGAAUUGCCGGGCAACCGCAUAAGUAACGGAGCAUGUGGAGUAAUACGAAGCAACGAGAAGAUCCUUACCUAAUCUUGUCAUCCCAAUGACAUGUCCUUAAUCGGAGAAUUCCCUUCGGGGACAUUGGUGUCGGGUAGUGCAUUGAUAUCGUCAGCUCGUGUCGUGA
This 250-nucleotide ribosomal RNA is filed under the name Clostridioides difficile. Its description in RNAcentral is "partial 16S ribosomal RNA". It matches the Rfam family "Bacterial small subunit ribosomal RNA", at positions 822 to 1070 of the family's 1533-position model. Lineage: Bacteria; Bacillati; Bacillota; Clostridia; Peptostreptococcales; Peptostreptococcaceae. The record is from RNAcentral.